RNAcentral lists this ribosomal RNA (429 nucleotides) under Chloroflexota bacterium. Its description in RNAcentral is "Chloroflexi bacterium partial 16S ribosomal RNA". It matches the Rfam family "Bacterial small subunit ribosomal RNA", at positions 355 to 776 of the family's 1533-position model. The record is from RNAcentral. Lineage: Bacteria; Bacillati; Chloroflexota.
UGGGGAAUAUUGCACAAUGGGCGCAAGCCUGAUGCAGCCAUGCCGCGUGUGUGAAGAAGGCCUUCGGGUUGUAAAGUACUUUCAGUCGGGAGGAAGGUGGUAAGGUUAAUAACCUUAUCAAUUGACGUUACCGACAGAAGAAGCACCGGCUAACUCCGUGCCAGCAGCCGCGGUAAUACGGAGGGUGCAAGCGUUAAUCGGAAUUACUGGGCGUAAAGCGCACGCAGGCGGUUGAUUGAGUCAGAUGUGAAAUCCCCGGGCUUAACCCGGGAAUUGCAUCUGAUACUGGUCAGCUAGAGUCUUGUAGAGGGGGGUAGAAUUCCAUGUGUAGCGGUGAAAUGCGUAGAGAUGUGGAGGAAUACCGGUGGCGAAGGCGGCCCCCUGGACAAAGACUGACGCUCAGGUGCGAAAGCGUGGGGAGCAAACAGG